AUUGUCAUAUUUGGUAAUCAUCUUAUGGGGGGUUUUUGCCCUUGUCUUGGAACAAAUCUCAGUUUUAAAGAAUAUUUUCAAUGCAGAAAUUUAAAAUUCCCAUGUGCUUCUAUUUACAGCUUUGCAUCUUAUUUGGCCAGAAUAUUUAGCUACUAAGAUGCUUCAUGAAUUUUAGCAUAAAAGAAGCAAAAUGAGUAUUCAACUUUAAAUUUGAAUUAAAAGGUGCCUAAGUACCUGCAUUCAUAGCAUGAUAAUCUCCAUAACACCAAACUAAACAUGGAAUUCUUGUUAUUGAUAGAUG
RNAcentral lists this unclassified non-coding RNA (301 nucleotides) under Hevea brasiliensis (rubber tree). The record is from RNAcentral. Lineage: Eukaryota; Viridiplantae; Streptophyta; Magnoliopsida; Malpighiales; Euphorbiaceae.